AAACCUGAUGCAGCAACGCCGCGUGAACGAUGAAGGUCUUCGGAUCGUAAAGUUCUGUUGCAGGGGAAGAUAAUGACGGUACCCUGUGAGGAAGCCCCGGCUAACUACGUGCCAGCAGCCGCGGUAAUACGUAGGGGGCUAGCGUUAUCCGGAUUUACUGGGCGUAAAGGGUGCGUAGGUGGUCCUUCAAGUCGGUGGUUAAAGGCUACGGCUCAACCGUAGUAAGCCGCCGAAACUGGAGGACUUGAGUGCAGGAGAGGAAAGUGGAAUUCCCAGUGUAGCGGUGAAAUGCGUAGAUAUUGGGAGGAACACCAGUAGCGAAGGCGGCUUUCUGGACUGCAACUGACACUGAGGCACGAAAGCGUGGGUAGCAAACAGGAUUAGAUACCCUGGUAGUCCACGCUGUAAACGAUGAGUACUAGGUGUCGGGGGUUACCCCCCUCGGUGCCGCAGCUAACGCAUUAAGUACUCCGCCUGGGGAGUACGCACGCAAGUGUGAAACUUAAAGGAAUUGACGGGGACCCGCACAAGUAGCGGAGCAUGUGGUUUAAUUCGAAGCAACGCGAAGAACCU
Molecule: ribosomal RNA, 573 nt
Filed under: Peptostreptococcus stomatis
Lineage: Bacteria; Bacillati; Bacillota; Clostridia; Peptostreptococcales; Peptostreptococcaceae
Description: bacterial SSU rRNA
Rfam family: Bacterial small subunit ribosomal RNA
Source: RNAcentral